Molecule: ribosomal RNA, 465 nt
Filed under: uncultured bacterium
Lineage: Bacteria
Description: partial 16S ribosomal RNA
Rfam family: Bacterial small subunit ribosomal RNA
Source: RNAcentral
CCUACGGGUGGCAGCAGUGGGGAAUAUUGCGCAAUGGGCGAAAGCCUGACGCAGCGACGCCGCGUGAGGGAUGAAGGUCUUCGGAUCGUAAACCUCUGUCAGCAGGGAAGAACGGUCACUGUGCUAAUCAGCAGUGAAUUGACGGUACCUGCAAGGGAAGCACCGGCUAACUCCGUGCCAGCAGCCGCGGUAAUACGGAGGGUGCGAGGGUUAAUCGGAAUUACUGGGCGUAAAGCGGUCGUAGGCGGUAUGUCAAGUCAAGGGUGAAAUCCCCGCGCGCAACGUGGGAACUGCCGUUGAAACUGGCAAACUCGAGUGGGGGAGAGGAUUGGGGAAUGCCAGGUGGAGGAGGGAAAUCCGUAGAUAUCUGGAGGAACAUCAGUGGCGAAGGCGACUAUCUGGCACAUAACUGACGCUGAGGAGCGAAAGCGUGGGUAGCAAACAGGAUUAGAUACCCGAGUAGUC